Long non-coding RNA from Bufo bufo (common toad), 320 nucleotides. RefSeq lists it as uncharacterized. The record is from RefSeq and is a predicted model, not a curated record. The transcript has 2 exons. NCBI's taxonomy places the organism in Eukaryota, Metazoa, Chordata, Amphibia, Anura, Bufonidae.
CAGACGGAUCUGCACCUAAAUGCAGGUGUGAAAGUAGCCUAAGGAGCAAGUGUAUGACAUGUCUAUAAAACUGGUCUUAUAAUAUGAAAUACUGUUCCUCAAAUGAAAUCCAGAAUCGGGAACCAAUCCACAAGUUUGUCACUUAUAGGCCUGUUGCAAAGCAGAACACAUCUAUCCUCCUAAACGGUUAGGCGAUUUGUCCAUCUAGAUGUGUUACCUUUAUUCAUAAAUGGACAGCAUCUAGACUGAAUCUUGACCCAUUACAUUCAAAUGGGUCUGUGUAUAUGAACAUUGUUGUUCACUGAUCAUCUUUACGUUCA